This 493-nucleotide ribosomal RNA is filed under the name uncultured bacterium. Its description in RNAcentral is "partial 16S ribosomal RNA". It matches the Rfam family "Bacterial small subunit ribosomal RNA", at positions 28 to 507 of the family's 1533-position model. The record is from RNAcentral.
GACGAACGCUGGCGGCGUGCUUAACACAUGCAAGUCGAACGGUGAAGGGACCGGUUUUUGCUGGUUCUGGAUGAGUGGCGAACGGGUGAGUAACACGUGAGUAACCUGCCCCCUUCUUCUGGAUAACCGCAUGAAAGUGUGGCUAAUACGGGAUAUUCUGCGCCUGCUGCAUGGUGGGUGUGGGAAAGAUAUUGUUUCGGUGGGGGAUGGGCUGGCGGCCUAUCAGCUUGUUGGUGGGGUGAUGGCCUACCAAGGCGGGGACGGGUAGCCGGCCUGAGAGGGUGGACGGUCACACUGGGACUGAGACCCGGCCCAGACUCCUACGGGAGGCAGCAGUGGGGAAUAUUGCACAAUGGGCGCAAGCCUGAUGCAGCGACGCCGCGUGAGGGAUGGAGGCCUUCGGGUUGUAAACCUCUUUCGCCAGUGAAGCAGGCCUGUCCCUUUUGUGGGUGGGUUGACGGUAGCUGGAGAAGAAGCGCCGGCUAACUACGUG